This 379-nucleotide ribosomal RNA is filed under the name Streptomyces sp. RNAcentral describes it as "bacterial SSU rRNA". It matches the Rfam family "Bacterial small subunit ribosomal RNA", at positions 924 to 1297 of the family's 1533-position model. Lineage: Bacteria; Bacillati; Actinomycetota; Actinomycetes; Kitasatosporales; Streptomycetaceae. The record is from RNAcentral.
CACAAGCAGCGGAGCAUGUGGCUUAAUUCGACGCAACGCGAAGAACCUUACCAAGGCUUGACAUACACCGGAAAACCGUGGAGACACGGUCCCCCUUGUGGUCGGUGUACAGGUGGUGCAUGGCUGUCGUCAGCUCGUGUCGUGAGAUGUUGGGUUAAGUCCCGCAACGAGCGCAACCCUUGUUCUGUGUUGCCAGCAUGCCUUUCGGGGUGAUGGGGACUCACAGGAGACUGCCGGGGUCAACUCGGAGGAAGGUGGGGACGACGUCAAGUCAUCAUGCCCCUUAUGUCUUGGGCUGCACACGUGCUACAAUGGCCGGUACAAUGAGCUGCGAUACCGCGAGGUGGAGCGAAUCUCAAAAAGCCGGUCUCAGUUCGGA